Myodes glareolus (Bank vole) is the source of this 545-nucleotide long non-coding RNA. RefSeq lists it as uncharacterized. Lineage: Eukaryota; Metazoa; Chordata; Mammalia; Rodentia; Cricetidae. The record is from RefSeq and is a predicted model, not a curated record.
UUUCUGGCUCUCCACAAAGUAAACGGGCUUCCUCUGCCACGCAGCCUCGCCGCCUGUUCUGUGACUUUUCCUGGGGAGACACAGGCAAGUGUCUGUUUGCCUCCGACAGGGCACUGACGGCAGAACUAACAGAUGAUUCCUCUCAAGUCUCGUUGGCUUUAUUGGGGUUGCGUGGAGAAGUAGGGGGUGACUCAAAGGAGCCUGCCUCGGGAACGGCCCUGCCUACAAAUCAGACGGGUCUUUAGACGGCACUGCGGAAGGCUGAGGCAGAACGGCACCUCUGGAAAGUUAAGCAGCCGACUUCCAGUAUAAUCGCACAAGGUGCUGAGCUGACGGAUGCCACCGUAAUUAACUCCAGCCCGGUGACUAUGAAGGUGCCCUAGGGAAUGGCCUGUAUCACCCACCACGCUGGAGCUACCUACUGAGAAUAGCGAGAGCCAGAGACCACAUGCCCAGCAUGCUUCGCAACCCCCCACCCCCCACCCCCCGGUUUUGGGUGGCUGGCUGCAUUUGGAAUCUAGCUGGAAGUUCCUUACGUUUUUCCU